UGCUUGCUCAGUCCCUUCUGGUUCCUUUGUCUGCUCUCUUAAAGAACUGGGAAGAGACUUGAAGCAAACCUUGGUUUCAGUUGCAGUAUAUUGUUCUUACUUUGUGCUACCUGCAAAACCUGGGCGUCCUGAAGAGCAUUUGCAUUUGAAGCUGGAAUUCAGAGCUGGCAAGGCUGAGGUCUGUGUUGGUAGCAGUAACAGGUCCAGAGGAAGAAAUGACCAUGUAGAUUCUACAGCCUGGGUGCUGCAUAAUGGGAAAUGGUGAAUGGAGCGGAACUGGUCUGCAGCCUUGAAAGCAGCUGUUCUGCGGACCACUAGUCGGUCAGGGGCACCUUGCACACCAGAGGCAUUCUCCACGUCGCUCACUGGACACAUGCUGGAUUGUUUUUAAUCCUAGGCUGGAAUUCGAGGCUCGUCUCCUUCAGUUUUUAAAAGAUUUUAAGCUUCUAUCAACUCUAACAAGUGGAGCAAUAUAAUCAGUAACCAUGGGUGACAUGACAAAUAGUGAUUUUUAUUCCAAGAACCAAAGAAAUGAGGCCAACCAUGCAGGAGAAUUUGGGUGCACCCUGCAAGAACUGCGCUCCCUCAUGGAACUCCGAGGAACAGAAGCAGUGGUAAAAAUUAAAGAGACAUAUGGGGAAACAGAGGGGCUCUGCAGGCAUCUGAAGACAUCACCAACAGAAGUGCUUGAAAGUCUUGAUUUAUUGGUGUUAUCACAAACAUGUAAAUUGUGAAA
Molecule: long non-coding RNA, 736 nt
Organism: Lagopus leucura (white-tailed ptarmigan)
Lineage: Eukaryota; Metazoa; Chordata; Aves; Galliformes; Phasianidae
Exons: 3
Source: RefSeq, a predicted model, not a curated record